Molecule: transfer RNA, 70 nt
Filed under: Rattus norvegicus (Norway rat)
Lineage: Eukaryota; Metazoa; Chordata; Mammalia; Rodentia; Muridae
Rfam family: tRNA
About the family: Transfer RNA (tRNA) molecules are approximately 80 nucleotides in length. Their secondary structure includes four short double-helical elements and three loops (D, anti-codon, and T loops).
Source: Rfam by way of RNAcentral
GGGGAUUUAGCUCAGCGGUAGAGCACUUGCCUAGCAAGUGCAAGGCCCUGGGGUUCGAUCCCCAGCUCCG